AAGACUAUACUUUCAGGGGUCAUUCCUUUAGUUCGAUAAUAGGGAAGUUUGUUCGAUCACAUCCAGUGCCCGAAACCACUAGGAGCCAGAGCAUCCUCUCUGAGCUGCUUCUAGGUGUCGCUUCUGCACCUGCCUUUCAUCAGAUGAUCAUUCUUCUCUUCCUUUGGAAGAGGGAAAGGGUGAGGAUGCAGUCUGAGUGG
Molecule: small nucleolar RNA, 200 nt
Filed under: Sorex araneus (European shrew)
Lineage: Eukaryota; Metazoa; Chordata; Mammalia; Eulipotyphla; Soricidae
Description: Small nucleolar RNA U3 (ENSSARG00000017070.1)
Rfam family: Small nucleolar RNA U3
About the family: Small nucleolar RNAs (snoRNAs) are involved in the processing and modification of rRNA in the nucleolus. There are two main classes of snoRNAs: the box C/D class, and the box H/ACA class.
Source: RNAcentral